RNAcentral lists this ribosomal RNA (552 nucleotides) under uncultured bacterium. RNAcentral describes it as "partial 16S ribosomal RNA". It matches the Rfam family "Bacterial small subunit ribosomal RNA", at positions 355 to 895 of the family's 1533-position model. The record is from RNAcentral.
UAGGGAAUCUUCCACAAUGGACGCAAGUCUGAUGGAGCAACGCCGCGUGAGUGAAGAAGGUUUUCGGACCGUAAAGCUCUGUUGUUGGUGAAGAAGGAUAGAGGUAGUAACUGGCCUUUAUUUGACGGUAAUCAACCAGAAAGUCACGGCUAACUACGUGCCAGCAGCCGCGGUAAUACGUAGGUGGCAAGCGUUGUCCGGAUUUAUUGGGCGUAAAGCGAGCGCAGGCGGAAGAAUAAGUCUGAUGUGAAAGCCCUCGGCUUAACCGAGGAAUUGCAUCGGAAACUGUUUUCUUGAGUGCAGAAGAGGAGAGUAGAACUCCAUGUGUAGCGGUGGAAUGCGUAGAUAUAUGGAAGAAUACCAGUGGCGAAGGCGGCUCUCUGGUCUGCAACUGACGCUGAGGCUCGAAAGCAUGGGUAGCGAACAGGAUUAGGUACCCUGGUAGUCCAUGCCGUAAAACGAUGAGUGCUAAGUGUUGGGAGGCUUCCGCCCCUCAGUGCUGCAGCUAAACGCAUUAAGCACUCCGCCUGGGGGAGUACGACCGCAAAGGUU